This 260-nucleotide ribosomal RNA is filed under the name uncultured bacterium. RNAcentral describes it as "partial 16S ribosomal RNA". It matches the Rfam family "Bacterial small subunit ribosomal RNA", at positions 526 to 779 of the family's 1533-position model. The record is from RNAcentral.
CGUAGGGGCGAGCGUUGUCCGGAAUCAUUGGGCGUAAAGCGCGUGUAGGCGGUCCGGUAAGUCCGCUGUGAAAAGUCGGGGGCUCAACCCUCGGAUGCCGGUGGAUACUGUCGGGCUUGAGUACGGAAGAGGCGAGUGGAAUUCCUGGUGUAGCGGUGAAAAUGCGCAGAUAUCAGGAGGAACACCAAAUUGCGAAGGCAGCUCGCUGGGGACGUUACUGACGCUGAAGACGCGAAAAGCGUGGGGAGCAAAACAGGAUU